AGUCGGGUCAAGGGCACUGCCCUGGACUCGCAGCACUUGUGUCCCCCACAGGGCGGCUUCCAGGGUCAGCGGGGCUGGCUUGUGGCACCGGAUGUACUAUGGAGGACGACAAACAUGGCUGUCAGCCUGAGGAUGGGGACAGAGCACCACUGUCACCUGACUGCUCCUAGGGACUGGGGAGGGACCCCAAAUGGAACGGAACGUGCAUUCGCUGUGACAAGUGAACCCUGGGCAAACCACAGCCUGGUCCUGACACCUGGCCACCCCAUGGGUGUCAAGAGCUGUGCCCCACAGGCUUUUCAUUGGAUGUGUUUUUGGAAGCAAGUGACCGGACCUUUUUUUUUGAGGCCCCCCCCUGGGUGGGCUUGAACCUCCAACCUGUGGUGAGCAGUCACGGGUACCACUCGGCCUCUGAAGUGAGCAAACACACAUGUACUUAACUGGGAGGAAAGGGAGAUGCUCGUGGCACUCCUCGGGCCCUGUCCCCAGGGAGGGCAGGCACUGUGUCCAAGAUGUCUCUCAGGCUGGGCCCCCGCUGGCCUGAGGUCACACAGUGCCCAGCCUGCCUGUAGCCCAGGCCCACUGAGCAUUCGGUGCCCGCCCCCAUGCCCAAGGGCUUUGCCGUCACCUCCUUGGCCUCCUCCAGAGUGUGGUAGUGGAACGAAUCCUGGUCCAGGGAAGCCAGGAGCGAGGCGUGCAAGUGGCGGUUGGCUUCCAGGAAGUGCUGCGUCAGGGCCAGCUGUUGCCUCAGCAGGUCGUUCAGCACCAGCAUGGCAGGGCUGUGGGCUGUCAGGGCUGCACAACCCCCCAUGUCACUCGGGCCCCGGGCCCCUGCCGCACCCACCGCUCCUCCUGGCCACCCGUCCUGCAGUGCCUACACGUGCUCUGGACCCCACCCUCUUGUACCCAUCCUCUCUGGAGAAAGGUGGCUCCCCAAGAGCUGACAUGGCACCCAGCUGCUGCUGGCCAGAGUCGGCAGCACUGACCUGACUCCAGCAUCUUACAGAACUCCAAGGGGCCAAGGGAAACGGCGCCCUGGGAUUUUCCCAUGCUGCCAGACCUUUCUUCCGAGGUACCUCUGCAUUUACCUUUGUUUACCCUUUAAGCCACCCAAACCCAAAUAGCCACACCCACUGCCAGUGAGGCAGCCCAACUAGGGAAGAACUGCCCCAAGGGGGUUCUCACAGCUGUAAGCCACCUCUGUGGACUCCUGGGGGCCCUCGCCCUCUGACCGUAGUGCUGAAUUGCUGCCCCACCAGUCCCACUUUAACCCCCGGGGGCUCUUUCAUAGAGAUGGGACUUUGUACAUGGACAGAGACAUGUACUAAGAAGCCUGGCAGACUGGGUUUCUGGGGUGGAGGGAGACCUUCACCCUUGUGAAUUGGAGACGAGUCCCAAUCACAUUCUCAUGAUGCAUAUUGUUCCUCACUCUAUCCUCCCAGAAUAGCGCUGCCUUAAAGUUACCCCUUACAAGCACACGGCUGACUUGCUGUGUAGCCGGCAGCUUUAUAGGAGCACACGCGUGCUACUGCUCUCCAGGCUCUGAAGACAGUCACUCCCCCUUACCUGCCCGGGCACUGGUGUUAGGUUAACUCCUCCAAUGAACUCAGGAACCUUCAGGGUUAGGGUGGGGCUUGCACGCUCCCUGAAUGUAUACAAGCCUUGGCUGGAAAUAUAUUCUCUUUCUGUGCGGA
This is a long non-coding RNA of Echinops telfairi (small Madagascar hedgehog), 1694 nucleotides long. RefSeq lists it as uncharacterized. The transcript is spliced from 2 exons. NCBI's taxonomy places the organism in Eukaryota, Metazoa, Chordata, Mammalia, Afrosoricida, Tenrecidae. The record is from RefSeq and is a predicted model, not a curated record.